AUGACGGAAUUGAUUUGACAUAAAGUCAAAGGCCAGAUUGCUGUAAAUAGAGUUUAUUCAUUUUGGGGGUGAUUUUUGCGGUGAAAUGUAAUAUAUAACCAAAUGUGUGCAUGUUAUAGAGUUCAGGCAUCAGGAAAAAGAUGCGAAGAUGAUGACGAACUAACCAAUGAGGGAAUUGAUUUGACCACCAACCCCCUAAUCGGCCCUGACCUGGAAUCAUCUGUGCAAGCACGACUGUGGUUUGGCCUGUGCUGCCAGAUAAACUCACAAGCAUCAUCUCGUGAAGAAAGAGAAGAAUCAACAUUAAGGGGCAGCUGAUGGCCGCCAUCCUCCUAUUGGUUGCUCGCUGAUCUGACCUGCAAUGAAAAAGGUGCACCACACACGAACAAAGGCAGGAGGCAAGAGCAGUUACAGGGUUUACUUAUUGUCAGUUUUGGCCUUAUCCAUGGAGAGGAAGUGAAGCAUGUCUUAGCAUGGCUCAUUUAUUAUUUUACUUCACAUGGUUGUGUUAUGAAGAGUUUGUAGUCCCUUUAUGCUAAUGUAUAUAGAGAAACUAUGAUCCCUGAUAAUUAAAAUUUCAGAAAAAUACAUUAUAAUAUUAAAGGAGGAUAUAAUGGCUGAAUUUUCAUUUUUGGGUGAACUUUAAGGACAGUGGAGGAAGAAGCUGCUCUGUAGUCUGGUGGUAUGGCGUUAUAUCAUUUGCCAGAUGGCAGCGGGGUGGACAGUCUGUGGCUGGAAUGAAUGUUGUCUUUUAGUAUCCUCUGAAUGCCACACAGGCACCUCACUGCUCGGUAGAUUGUUACAAAUGAUCAUCUGGGUGGUUGUAAUUACUCGCCGAGGGCUAAAUACAAACAAACAAACAAACAAAAAACACACAUAACACUUUUAAAAAAAAACAUCAACGCAGACUGCAAUCUGACUUAAAACUACUGUAUGUGUGAAUCACAACACUUGCAAGCACGCAGGAUCCAACGGCUAAACAGCAAGUUUAUUUUGGUUAGGAUCAGAAACACAGAUCAUGUCCUGAGGGUGAGAUGAGAAGAGAUGAGAUCAAAAUCCCAUGACCGAAAUAUGGCAAUGAUGGUUUGUGGUGUUUGGGAGAGGGAGGGGCAGCAAUGAGUGGGAGAAAUGGUGUGUUACAAUGUUCAGUGAAUAAGAUUGGAGGGGAGCAGUUACUCUCAACAGCAGAGAGCAGCAUUGACCAUUUCCCGUGGCAAACUCCAACAACAGGGAGGCCCACAUGUUACUGUAGCCACAUCUCCCAUUUCAAUAGUCUCCAGUUGCUCAAAGAAUCUUUUCUAUUCAAUAAAACCUAGUUUUAGUUGAAAUGAAAAACAAAAGGCACAAUGAUUUUCAACUCAUUCUUGUCUUUAAUAUGCACAAGAGUUGAAAGCAUCAAUGAGCCACCUUAAAGAGAGGAAAUUCAAUCUAAAAUUUAUAAAAAGAUAUAAACAAUCAGAGGCCAAAACGCUGUCUGUUGCUUUUCUCCUAUUAUUUUAUUUAAAACAACUUUUCAUUAGCAAGUAAAAAUCUUGCAACAAACAUAAGCUUGUAUCCAAUUUGGAUACAAGGCAACGAAAUUGUAAAUCUUUAAAGUGGCUCGGUCUAGUCUGCUAGUUCAUGACUGUACACCCUCUCCAUAGUUUUGUUCAGUAAUAAACAGCUAGUCCCAAAAACAAGCCUGGGCUGCUCGUUACAACCCCCACCCAAUAUUUAAAACCCCAGUGUGACCCUCCCUUACCCUACCCACCCCCACCCACCUUACACUGACCCCCUCUCAGUAGUUAGCAGCCAACCAGAGGAUCACAAAGUCUUCGAGACCAGGGUUAGGGUGGGGUCUGACAGCGUGAACCCGCACCCGCACACCAACUGGGACAUGGGACGGUGCAUUUUAAACAUCCCGUCACCACUACGAAGAAAGAGAGAGAGAAAAAAAAAAAAA
Molecule: long non-coding RNA, 1942 nt
Organism: Acanthopagrus latus (yellowfin seabream)
Lineage: Eukaryota; Metazoa; Chordata; Actinopteri; Spariformes; Sparidae
Exons: 2
Source: RefSeq, a predicted model, not a curated record